ACUGCGAGUUGGCGCUGUCGGGAUCCUGCGCGCGGGCCAUUCCGACGGUGCCGCGCUCGAAGGGAACGUC
RNAcentral lists this small RNA (70 nucleotides) under Sinorhizobium meliloti 2011. RNAcentral's name for it is "putative ncRNA". Lineage: Bacteria; Pseudomonadati; Pseudomonadota; Alphaproteobacteria; Hyphomicrobiales; Rhizobiaceae. The record is from RNAcentral.